Molecule: small nuclear RNA, 164 nt
Filed under: Helobdella robusta
Lineage: Eukaryota; Metazoa; Annelida; Clitellata; Rhynchobdellida; Glossiphoniidae
Description: U1 spliceosomal RNA
Rfam family: U1 spliceosomal RNA
About the family: U1 is a small nuclear RNA (snRNA) component of the spliceosome (involved in pre-mRNA splicing). Its 5' end forms complementary base pairs with the 5' splice junction, thus defining the 5' donor site of an intron.
Source: Rfam by way of RNAcentral
AAACUUACCUUGCGCAGGAGAUACCGUGAUCAAGAAGGCGGUUCUCCCAGGACGAGACCCAGCCAUUGCACUACGGUUGGGUUGACCCCUGCGAUUACCCCAAAUGUGGGUAACUCGGGUGCAUAUUUUCUGGUAGUGAGGAACUGCGUUCGCGCUUUUCCUCG